ACAUCCAGAGAACUUAGCAGAGAUGCUUUGGUGCCUUCGGGAACUCUGAGACAGGUGCUGCAUGGCUGUCGUCAGCUCGUGUUGUGAAAUGUUGGGUUAAGUCCCGNAACGAGCGCAACCCUUAUCCUUUGUUGCCAGCGGCUCGGCCGGGAACUCAAAGGAGACUGCCGGUGAUAAACCGGAGGAAGGUGGGGAUGACGUCAAGUCAUCGUGGCCCUUACGGCCAGGGCUACACACGUGCUACAAUGGCGCAUACAAAGAGAAGCGACCUCGCGAGAGCAAGCGGACCUCACAAAGUGCGUCGUAGUCCGGAUUGGAGUCUGCAACUCGACUCCAUGAAGUCGGAAUCGCUAGUAAUCGUAGAUCAGAAUGCUACGGUGAAUACGUUCCCGGGCCUUGUACACACCGCCCGUCACACCAUGGGAGUGGGUUGCAAAAGAAGUAGGUAGCUUAACCUUCGGGAGGGCGCUUACCACUUUGUGAUUCAUGACUGGGGUGAAGUCGUAACAAGGUAAGCGUAGCGAG
This 525-nucleotide ribosomal RNA is filed under the name uncultured bacterium. Its description in RNAcentral is "bacterial SSU rRNA". It matches the Rfam family "Bacterial small subunit ribosomal RNA", at positions 984 to 1509 of the family's 1533-position model. The record is from RNAcentral.